Arabidopsis lyrata subsp. lyrata is the source of this 613-nucleotide long non-coding RNA. RefSeq lists it as uncharacterized. Lineage: Eukaryota; Viridiplantae; Streptophyta; Magnoliopsida; Brassicales; Brassicaceae. The transcript has 3 exons. The record is from RefSeq and is a predicted model, not a curated record.
GGUCGUGAUCUUGAUGGUGCUACUUUACUCGGCUCGGUCUGAAAAUAUUUAGAGAAAGCUUAUUGGACAGGUGACACUCAGCUGACUCUACUUUACUCUGCUAGGUAUGCAAAUAUGCUGCUAUAUCCAAAGAAGAGUGGGAAGAACAAAGUAAGAUAUGGCCAACUUCUUUUCAUCCCCCAACCUACAAUAUAGAUGGCAUUGGUGGGUUUAGCGAGGAGGACACACAAUCGAUCUCCAAGUUCAUGAGAGUUGUUAUUGAUAUGGCAGUAUCUGGUCCUAAACCACUUGUAAAUGCUGCAGUGAUAGUUGAUCCUUCAGUUAGGCGAAUAAUAGCUACUGAAACUGAUCAUGCAUGUAGACCAAAAGAUUUCGACUUCUGUUACUGUGUAUCAAGGACUCAGUACUCUCUAGUCAGAAACUUAUGUUUUGGUGAAACAACAUAAUGAAAAGAUCAUUAUAAAGGAAAACACAGAGUGCAAUCACUAGGAAUGAGCAAGAAACCGUCACUAACAAUCCUCAAAUGAAAUAAUCUAUCUCUACCAAUACAAUAAAAUCACAAUUUUGGUAGGAAAGUUAUGGAAUUGCUUUUUCCCACCAGAACGGUAAAAUC